This 249-nucleotide ribosomal RNA is filed under the name uncultured Actinomycetales bacterium. Its description in RNAcentral is "partial 16S ribosomal RNA". It matches the Rfam family "Bacterial small subunit ribosomal RNA", at positions 84 to 334 of the family's 1533-position model. The record is from RNAcentral. Lineage: Bacteria; Bacillati; Actinomycetota; Actinomycetes; Actinomycetales.
GGGGUGCUCGAGUGGCGAACGGGUGAGUAACACGUGAGUAACCUGCCCUUGACUUUGGGAUAACUUCAGGAAACUGGGGCUAAUACCGGAUAAGAGCUCCUGCUGCAUGGUGGGGGUUGGAAAGUUUCGGCGGUUGGGGAUGGACUCGCGGCUUAUCAGCUUGUUGGUGGGGUAGUGGCUUACCAAGGCUUUGACGGGUAGCCGGCCUGAGAGGGUGACCGGCCACAUUGGGACUGAGAUACGGCCCAG